This is a non-coding RNA of Alkalitalea saponilacus, 59 nucleotides long. The record is from Rfam. Lineage: Bacteria; Pseudomonadati; Bacteroidota; Bacteroidia; Marinilabiliales; Marinilabiliaceae.
CCGAGCUGCGUGAUGGGAAACUAUCAUGCGCAGUUCUUAGGGGGCGUAAGCUACCCGAU